AUUCCAGCUCCAAUAGCGUAUGUUAAAGUUGUUGCGGCUAAAAAGCUCGUAGUUGGAUUUCUGUUGAGGACGGCUGGUCCGCUCUAUGAGCGUGCAUCUAGUUUGGCCUCGGCAUCCGCUCUGCAUACGUUCUGCGCUUGAUUGCGUGGUUCGGAGGUAGGGCCUUUUACUUUGAGGAAAUUAGAGUGUUCACGGCAGGCAAUCGCCUUGAAUAUAUUAGCAUGGAAUAAUAACAUAGGAUCUUGGUUCUAUUUUGUUGGUUUCUAGGGCUAAGAUAAUGAUUAAUAGGGACAAUUGGGGGCAUUCGUAUCGCGGUGUCAGAGGUGGAAUUCUUGGAUUACUGCGCGACGAACUACUGCGAAAGCAUUUGCCAAGGAUGUUUUCAUUA
Molecule: ribosomal RNA, 388 nt
Filed under: Syndiniales sp.
Lineage: Eukaryota; Dinophyceae; Syndiniales
Description: partial small subunit ribosomal RNA
Rfam family: Eukaryotic small subunit ribosomal RNA
Source: RNAcentral